ACUCCUGGCAGAAGGUGUGCAAGCACGCCAGCAGCUUGGGCGCGCGCCGGUCCGCGUCGAAGUAGUUGUAGCAGAUUUUGCACUCGUAGUCCUCAAGCGGAGGGAGGCCGGAGACCGUCUCCGCUGCGUCCCGGGCUCCUGCGUCUCCGCAGUCCGGGGCUCCCUUCGCGGCGACCCCAGCUCCCUCCCGGCUCCCGGGGCUGCUGCUUGGGCUCUGCUGGCUGCCGCCGCUGUCGCUCGCCGGCGCUGCCAUGGCAUGAUCCGCCCCUCAUCGGGGGCAAGUUUCUCUGCAGAAGACAGCAAGAUGCCCCAGGGAAUGUUUGUGAAAAAGGAUGACUGGAUGGGAAGCAAGCUGAAGAAAAAGAAGGAAAGAAAGAGAGAAAUCAGUAAAUCACCACACAAGAGGUGGAGAAGAGGACUUAUAAAUAUUGUUUCUAUGAC
RNAcentral lists this long non-coding RNA (441 nucleotides) under Homo sapiens (human). RNAcentral describes it as "HSALNT0309202". The record is from RNAcentral. Lineage: Eukaryota; Metazoa; Chordata; Mammalia; Primates; Hominidae.